Molecule: long non-coding RNA, 1499 nt
Organism: Helianthus annuus (common sunflower)
Lineage: Eukaryota; Viridiplantae; Streptophyta; Magnoliopsida; Asterales; Asteraceae
Exons: 4
Source: RefSeq, a predicted model, not a curated record
CAGAACCACCACCAUUCAACAGAACCAAUGUAAGAGCACGAUACUUUUUAAGCACAUAUGUGGUUUUUUCAUACUCGGCUACUCGCUAUGCUAACAAUGGAUCUUCGUUUUGGCGAUGUCAUUGAUGACGUGGCUCGAUACUUUAAGGAUGCAUAUGACAGAAAACUUGCACCAUACAAGUUUGUUGAAGGCAUGAUUGACAGAACAAUUGAGAAGCUAUGGCCUAACAAUCCAAUGCUGGCAUGCGAUAGUUCCUGCCAAAGUAAUAGAAGGAACAUCGGUGAAUAUCUCGAAGCUGACAGGGAUGAAUUGUACCAUCUGGACUAUUGUGUUUGACCCGGCGCAUAGAAGAGGCGAACCUGAUGUCACGAGAAGAACACCUGAUUAUAUCUUGUGAAGUUGAGUAAUACUCAUGACUGGUUGAAUCGGUGUUUUGAUCUAACAAAUAUCGACGAAAGUUCUUCAUUGGUGGAUGCGUGAAAGUUCUUCAUUGAUUCGCUAUUCCACGCUGCACUAUCGACGCAUUGCGCGUGUUUGAUUAACGAGCUGCGCUUCUUCGUCCUCUUUCGGAGACUAAAACAUUGGAUCUUCUUGAUGUUAGUUGUACUGCUAAAGGAGGUGGUAUCUCAGGUAAUUACAAGUUACCCCCUCCCUCUCCAGUUCCUGUACUACAUUUUGUAAAUUUUCAAUUUUUUUAACAAAAUAAAAUCUGAAUGAAACAGAUCAAAUUUGUUCAAUAAGUUUUUCUGUUCAAGCUGAUGCUAAACUUGCAAGAUUUUUUCAUGCUAAACAGGAAGAAAACAAAGUUUUUUUUUUUUUUUCAAAAACAGCAGCAGCAAAUAGAAAUCAAGGGUUUAAAUAAUAUGUUUCGACGCCGUAUGCGAAGAAGCUGGCGAAACAGCAUAAGGUUGAUAUUAUUAAGGUGGUUAAGCCUGGGCCAUCUGAGAGGAUUACUGCAGCUGAUAUGGAAGCUGCUGCAGGAAUCGCGCCUUCGGAAAGUGUGGGAUUCCUAUGGUAACUGCUGCUGCUGCUCCUCCUGUGGCUAAAUCGGUACCUGCAUUUGCUGCAGUGCCUGGGGUGACGAUUGUUCUGUUUACUACUAUCCAAGGUGCAGUGUCGUAGAACAUGAUCGAGAGCUUGUCUGUGCCAAUGUUUCGCGUUGGUCAUCCUGUUAUGACUGCUCUUGAUGCGAAGGUCGAGUUCUAAACUUAUUUAAUUCUAAGUGUUGUUUGAUCAUGUGUAUACUUGUUUUAAUUCUAGCAAAUGUUGCAAGGUCAAAGCUGGAAACUGCAGAUCCAUAUAGCAAGUGCUAGCAAGAAAUAUGCAAAGCAUUUCUUAAGGGUUACUGGAACCCAUAUUUAAUUUAAGUAUUGAACAAUGAAGAUGUCAUACUUCCCUUAUGUUAACUACAUAGUGUUUCAAACAACCCCCUACCCUCAAAAAUAUGUCUUCUGUUUCAAACCAUAAAUAAGAUAUAUUUGUCGUUUUGUGUAAAUCGA